AAGGCAGGAAACAUAUGCAGCAAUAAAAAAGAUGCUCGCCACUCUGAAUGACCCUUUCACCCGUUUUCUGGAGCCUGAAAAGUUCAAAAGUUUGCGGUCGGGAACUCAAAAUGCACUUACUGGAGUAGGGUUGUCAAUUGGCUAUCCAUUGGGGAAAAAUGAAUCGGCCUCUGGACUGGUCGUUAUCUCAGCUUCUCCAGGAGGUCCUGCAAAUAGGGCUGGCAUCUCAUCUGGUGAUAUCAUCCUACAAAUUGACAAUACCAGCACAGAAAACAUGGGUAUAUAUGAU
This 289-nucleotide unclassified non-coding RNA is filed under the name Hevea brasiliensis (rubber tree). Lineage: Eukaryota; Viridiplantae; Streptophyta; Magnoliopsida; Malpighiales; Euphorbiaceae. The record is from RNAcentral.